UGAGGGAUCGUCUAAAGGCAGGACACAAGAUUCUGAUUCUUGUUAUCUAGGUUCGAAUCCUAGUCCCCCAGCCA
Molecule: transfer RNA, 74 nt
Filed under: Deltaproteobacteria bacterium
Lineage: Bacteria; Pseudomonadati; Myxococcota; Myxococcia
Also listed under: 1 other name
Description: tRNA-Gln
Rfam family: tRNA
About the family: Transfer RNA (tRNA) molecules are approximately 80 nucleotides in length. Their secondary structure includes four short double-helical elements and three loops (D, anti-codon, and T loops).
Source: RNAcentral